RNAcentral lists this ribosomal RNA (253 nucleotides) under uncultured bacterium. RNAcentral describes it as "partial 16S ribosomal RNA". It matches the Rfam family "Bacterial small subunit ribosomal RNA", at positions 524 to 776 of the family's 1533-position model. The record is from RNAcentral.
GACGAACCGUGCAAACGUUGUUCGGAAUCACUGGGCUUAAAGGGUGCGUAGGCGGACUUCAUAGUCGGGGGUGAAAUUUUGCGGCUUAACCGUAAAAGAGCCUCCGAUACUGGAAGUCUCGAGGGAGGUAGGGGUCGAUGGAACUUCCGGUGGAGCGGUGAAAUGCGUAGAUAUCGGAAGGAACGCCGGUGGCGAAAGCGAUCGACUGGAUCUCUUCUGACGCUGAGGCACGAAAGCCAGGGGAGCAAACGGG